GACGAACGCUGGCGGCGUGCUUAACACAUGCAAGUCGAACGGGCCCGCUCUCUUUUUUGGGGGUGGGUUGAGUGGCGAACGGGUGAGUAUCACGUGAGUAACCUGCCCCCUGCUCCUGGAUAACUGCUUGAAAGGGCGGCUAAUACGGGGUGUGCCGGCUGGUCCGCAUGGGCCUGGUCGGGAUAGUUUCAUCUUCGGGUGUUUCGGUGGGGGAUGGGCUCGCGGCCUAUCAGCUUGGUGGGGGGGUGAUGGCCCGACAAGGCGGUGACGGGUAGCCGGCCUGAGAGGGUGGGCGGCCACACUGGGACUGGGACACGGCCCAGACGCCGGCGGGAGGCAGCAGUGGGGGGUAUUGCACAAUGGGCGGAAGCCUGAUGCAGCGACGUCGCGUGAGGGAUGGAGGCCUUCGGGUUGUGAACCUCUUUCUCCGGUGGUGAAGGCCCUGUCCGUUGCGGCGGGGUUGACGGUAGCCGGGGAUGAAGCGCCGGCUAACUACGUG
Molecule: ribosomal RNA, 499 nt
Filed under: uncultured bacterium
Lineage: Bacteria
Description: partial 16S ribosomal RNA
Rfam family: Bacterial small subunit ribosomal RNA
Source: RNAcentral